CCGGCAUUGAUUGUUCUCGACUAGUCAUAGUGGUUUAGUUGCAUCGAGAAUAUGCAACCACUCUAUUAGCAAAGAGUUACUCCAGGGUAAAGAUGGGGUUGGACCCAAUAACUUUUAGGUGAGGGACCCAAUGACGGCUUUGCACCUGCUUGUGAAUGGUGGGUCUGGCUUAAUUAACGAGUGUGGACAAUAACUGCUUGGUGAGCCCACAUGACUUAGACAUCAAGUGGCUGC
RNAcentral lists this long non-coding RNA (234 nucleotides) under Elaeis guineensis (African oil palm). RNAcentral describes it as "long non-coding RNA (EGUI_LNC017080)". The record is from RNAcentral. Lineage: Eukaryota; Viridiplantae; Streptophyta; Magnoliopsida; Arecales; Arecaceae.